RNAcentral lists this unclassified non-coding RNA (215 nucleotides) under soil metagenome. RNAcentral describes it as "partial contains 5.8S ribosomal RNA, internal transcribed spacer 2, and large subunit ribosomal RNA". The record is from RNAcentral.
AACCUAGCACACCUGCGGUGUGUACCUGCGGAAGGAUCAUUAACAAGCUGUGGGAGAUCGAUCAAUUUGAUCUCACACCUGGCCAACCUUGUUAACCUUAAAUAUAUUGCUUUGGUGAGCCCUGCUCACCAAAGUCAAACCCUAAACUCUUGAUUGUUUCUGCUGUCUGAGCAUGCAAGUGCAAAAUUUAGUUAAAAACUUUUAACAAUGGAUCU